Molecule: ribosomal RNA, 355 nt
Filed under: Candida albicans
Lineage: Eukaryota; Fungi; Ascomycota; Pichiomycetes; Serinales; Debaryomycetaceae
Description: eukaryotic LSU rRNA
Rfam family: Eukaryotic large subunit ribosomal RNA
Source: RNAcentral
GGGUGGUAAAUUCCAUCUAAAGCUAAAUAUUGGCGAGAGACCGAUAGCGAACAAGUACAGUGAUGGAAAGAUGAAAAGAACUUUGAAAAGAGAGUGAAAAAGUACGUGAAAUUGUUGAAAGGGAAGGGCUUGAGAUCAGACUUGGUAUUUUGCAUGCUGCUCUCUCGGGGGCGGCCGCUGCGGUUUACCGGGCCAGCAUCGGUUUGGAGCGGCAGGAUAAUGGCGGAGGAAUGUGGCACGGCUUCUGCUGUGUGUUAUAGCCUCUGACGAUGCUGCCAGCCUAGACCGAGGACUGCGGUUUUUAACCUAGGAUGUUGGCAUAAUGAUCUUAAGUCGCCCGUCUUGAAACACGGAC